UGGGGAAUAUUGGACAAUGGGGGCAACCCUGAUCCAGCAAUGCCGCGUGUGUGAAGAAGGCCUGCGGGUUGUAAAGCACUUUUGGCAGGGAUGAAAAGCACUGGAUUAAUAACCCAGUGUGUUGACCUAACCUGCAGAAGAAGCACCGGCUAACUCUGUGCCAGCAGCCGCGGUAAUACAGGGGGUGCGAGCGUUAAUCGGAAUUACUGGGCGUAAAGCGCGCGUAGGUGGUUUGUUAAGUUGGAUGUGAAAGCCCCGGGCUCAACCUGGGAACUGCAUCCAAAACUGGCAAGCUAGAGUACGGUAGAGGGUGGUGGAAUUCCUAGUGUAGAGGUGAAAUUCGUAGAUAUUAGGAAGAACACCGGUGGCGAAGGCGGCUCACUGGAUCGGUACUGACGCUGAGGUGCGAAAGCGUGGGGAGCAAACAGGAUUAGAUACCCUCGUAGUCCCUGAGCGGGCUGGCAAGGCGCAU
This 472-nucleotide ribosomal RNA is filed under the name uncultured bacterium. RNAcentral describes it as "bacterial SSU rRNA". It matches the Rfam family "Bacterial small subunit ribosomal RNA", at positions 355 to 825 of the family's 1533-position model. The record is from RNAcentral.